This 489-nucleotide ribosomal RNA is filed under the name uncultured bacterium. RNAcentral describes it as "bacterial SSU rRNA". It matches the Rfam family "Bacterial small subunit ribosomal RNA", at positions 28 to 507 of the family's 1533-position model. The record is from RNAcentral.
GAUGAACGCUAGCGGCAGGCUUAACACAUGCAAGUCGAGGGGCAGCAUGAGGGUUAGCAAUAACUCUUGAUGGCGACCGGCGCAAGGGUGCGUAACGCGUGAGCAACUUGCCCGUUUCUGGGGAAUAACCGGUGGAAACGCCGACUAAUACCCCCAUAGCAUUGAUUUCAGGCAUCUGUUAUCAAUUAAAGAAUUUCGGAAACGGAUAGGCUCGCGUGACAUUAGGUAGUUGGGGGUGUAACGGACCACCAAGCCGACGAUGUCUAGGGGUUCUGAGAGGAAGGUCCCCCACACUGGUACUGAGACACGGACCAGACUCCUACGGGAGGCAGCAGUGAGGAAUAUUGGUCAAUGGGCGAGAGCCUGAACCAGCCAAGUCGCGUGAGGGACGACGGUACUAAGUAUUGUAAACCUCUUUUGUCAGGGAACAAAGAGACCACGCGUGGUAAGAUGAGUGUACCUGAAGAAAAAGCAUCGGCUAACUCCGUG